This 421-nucleotide ribosomal RNA is filed under the name uncultured eukaryote. Its description in RNAcentral is "bacterial SSU rRNA". It matches the Rfam family "Eukaryotic small subunit ribosomal RNA", at positions 592 to 1016 of the family's 1831-position model. The record is from RNAcentral.
CAAUAGCGUAUAUUAAAGUUGUUGCAGUUAAAAGCUCGUAGUUGGAUUUCUGGUGGGAGCGAUCGGUCCGCCCCGCAAGGGGUGUGUACUAGCGUCGUCUCCGGCCAUCCUUGUGGGAACUGCUCUGUCCUUAGUUGGAUGGGGUUUGGGAACACAUCGUUUACUGUGAAAAAUUAGAGUGUUUAAAGCAGGCUUAGGCCGUUGAAUACAUUAGCAUGGAAUAAUAAGAUAGGACCUUGGUCUAUUUUGUUGGUUUCUAGAGCUUAGGUAAUGAUUAAUAGGGACACUUGGGGCCAUUCGUAUUAACGCGUCAGAGGUGAAAUUCUUGGAUUGCGUUACGACGAACUACUGCGAAAGCAUUUGGCAAGGAUGUUUUCAUUGAUCAAGAACGAAAGUGUGGGAUCGAAGACGAUCAGAUACC